Molecule: ribosomal RNA, 345 nt
Filed under: uncultured bacterium
Lineage: Bacteria
Description: bacterial SSU rRNA
Rfam family: Bacterial small subunit ribosomal RNA
Source: RNAcentral
GACGAACGCUGGCGGCGUGCUUAACACAUGCAAGUCGAGCGGUAAGGCCCUUUCGGGGGUACACGAGCGGCGAACGGGUGAGUAACACGUGGGUGACCUGCCCUCAGCUCUGGGAUAAGCCUGGGAAACUGGGUCUAAUACUGGAUAUGACUCCACGGUGCAUGUCGUGGGGUGGAAAGCCUUGUGCGGCUGAGGAUGGGCCCGCGGCCUAUCAGCUUGUUGGUGGGGUGANGGCCUACCAAGGCGACGACGGGUAGCCGGCCUGAGAGGGCGACCGGCCACACUGGGACUGAGACACGGCCCAGACUCCUACGGGAGCAGCAGUGGGAAUCUUGCGCAAUGGGC